GACGAACGCUGGCGGCGUGCCUAAUACAUGCAAGUCGAACGGAGUGGCGCACGGGUGAGUAAUAUAUAGCUAAUCUGCCCCUAGCUGGAGGACAACAGUUAGAAAUGACUGCUAAUACUCCAUAGAAAGGGAUGUGUCUAUAUCGUAUCAGCUAGUCGGUGGGGUAACGGCCUACCGAGGGUAUGACGAGUAACGGGUGUGAGAGGAUGAUCAGUCAAAUUGGAACUGAGACACGGUCCAGACGCCUACGGGAAGCAGCAGUAGGGAGUAUUGCGCAAGGGGGGAAACCCUGACGGAGCAACGCCGCGUAGAGGAUGACACUUUUCGGAGCGUAAACUCCUUUUGUUAGGGAAGCGGUACCUAACGAAUAAGCACCGGCUAACUCCGUGCCAGCAGCCGCGGUAAUUC
This 408-nucleotide ribosomal RNA is filed under the name uncultured bacterium. RNAcentral's name for it is "partial 16S ribosomal RNA". It matches the Rfam family "Bacterial small subunit ribosomal RNA", at positions 28 to 526 of the family's 1533-position model. The record is from RNAcentral.